GCGAAUUGAAUGAUAAUGAAAUGAUUGUCGGUACAAUGGGGUCAGAUUUAUCUGUAGGCUCCUAUCUUCUCUUUGCCGUUUGCUCAAGUCUUCAACCUCCUAUGUAACCAUACUAGUCACGUAUGAGUCUCUUAAGGAGAUACUUUAUGUUUCCUUCGUACAGAAACCUUUUUAGUCCUUGCGAUGGUGAGAACGACGUUCAAAGCUUUUGUUGUCGCUCGAAACCGUCUCUUGAUUCGUCUGAUAAAAAUUGAUCGUUAAAUCAUAACUCUAAACUCGUAACAAUAAUUAUGUCGAUGAUAAUUGUGAGAAUACAAAUUUAAAUCCAAUAUAUAUAUAUAUAUUAUAAUUUAUAUUGCAUUACAAUUAUAUUUGUUAUACGACAAAUCGUAAAAUAAAUAUUUGCAAUUUUUUUUCAUUCAGAUCGCUAUCAUGAUUAGUGAUACCAAUUACGAAAUAUACCGAAAUUAUGAUUUUGCGAAUUAUAUGAUUUUUAAAUAAAUUUUUGUAAUAAUCAGUUUAGAAUUAUAAACAGUUGAACGAGUAUAGAAUUUCGUCGAGAAAUAUGAUUGUCUAUUGAAGAAAAAAAAAAAAGAAAAAAGAAAAAUUUCAGACAGUGGCCUAAGGAUUGUCAGAAUGAAUUCCGACGUGUGAUUGCCGAGCGUAUCUCCGCUUCCUCGGACGAACCCAACAAAACGUGUACUACGUAUGAGAAGCCUUAUUCGUUCCGUUAUCUUUUUGUGCUCACCAAUACGGUGGCCGGAAGCUUAAGAUUUCGGUUGGUUAUACCGUGUUACAAUCAUCAAAUAACAAAGUUCAUAUUAUUUUAUUCAAAAUAAAAUAAUCAUAUCGAUAUGAUACGAUACGAUUUUUUAAUAUUUUUAAUCGACAAAACGUUCGUUUGUACAUCUUUCACUGUCAAUGACAAUUUACAAUUAGAAGAGAGAAUUAAAUAAAACUGGAGGGUAUUAAAAAAAAAGAAAGAAAAGAAAAAAAAACAACAAGGAGAACACUCGACCGGUCGUCUGGCCGGCCGUCUGUCUUUUCGAAAUAAAAACCGAAGUAAAAGAUUGUAUUUUCGGUCAAUGCCUCAGUCAGAUGUGUGCUGGUUUCCCUGGGCCGAAGAAGUAGAAGCAGAAGCAGAA
RNAcentral lists this long non-coding RNA (1145 nucleotides) under Polistes fuscatus (common paper wasp). Its description in RNAcentral is "uncharacterized LOC122517124". Lineage: Eukaryota; Metazoa; Arthropoda; Insecta; Hymenoptera; Vespidae. The record is from RNAcentral.